This is a long non-coding RNA of Mus musculus (house mouse), 2501 nucleotides long. RefSeq annotates it as RIKEN cDNA 1700010L04 gene. The record is from RefSeq and is a predicted model, not a curated record. The transcript has 5 exons. Lineage: Eukaryota; Metazoa; Chordata; Mammalia; Rodentia; Muridae.
AGGAAUUGUGUGUGUGUGUGUGUGUGUGUGUGUGUCUGAGAGAGAGAGAGAGAGAGAGAGAGAGAGAGAGAGAGAGAGAGAGAGAAUACAUGAGGAGAAGAGCAUCAAAGGUGAAGCAGAAAGAUACCAAUGACAAAGACAGUGGGAGAAAUGUGUGACACUAACAACUCUAGCAACAGCGUAAGAAUCUGAAUGGAUGAGGGUUCUUUGUAUUAUUCUUAGUUUUACAAAUUUUCUGAAAGUUUGAAUUAAGUCCCAGUUGAAAGUUAAAAGAGCAAAACAACAGAACAAACGAAACAAAACAAACAACCCAAAACCCCUAAAACUUCAGCGUGAACAAAAUCAUUGACGAGCAGAGGUAUAACGGCCUGGAGGCCGUGGAGCCUGGAGGCUGUAGGAGCCUGCAGUUGGACCAACACAGCCUCUGUUCUGGACCUAUUCAUGAGUCUUGAAUGUGCCCACAGUUCAGCUGGCCCAGUUCUACCAGAGGCAGAGCGUUUCCCUGCAGAUGUGAUGCUAGGCGCACAGGCAUGUCUGUGCUUCCAGAAGUCCCCAUCACAUUCUGGGCCAGAGACACAGAUGGUGGCUGGAUUCCAGCCACAGAUGUAGCUCCCUCCAGAACAGUGAGGCCUACAACUGGAGCAUGCUGCUGCUGGGUCACAGGCCUGAGGGCACAGUAGCAUCUGUGUGACUGCAGACUUAUUCUCUGUGAGAGGAACAGUUAAGGCUAUCCAUGGCCUCGCAUCUGCUGGUCCCAUUCACUAUGACAAGGCUGUGCAGUCAGCUUCUCACCCUCUCACCCCCAUGCCUGAGGUCAGCAUGAAAGUGUUAGCCACUAACCCCUGGACUGUCCUUCUGCAUACAAUUCCCCCACAAACAUCUUCAGAACAUCUCUGUGAGAUUACUUCCUUUAUACCAGGAUCUUGGGUAGCUAUUUCUUCCUAGUGGCUACACUCCUUAGAGAUGCUAAACACACGACAAAGUUAUGAGAGUUCUUAAGAACAUUACAAGACUCGAGACCCAGCCCCCAUGAAGCCCAUCCCAAAGGUUGCACAAGCCGUCACGGUUACUGGAGAGAGGAGACUCUCUCAUGGAAUUGCCUGCAAGUUGUGCAGAGAGUGUCAGAGAUAUUGCUUUUAUGAGGUCAUCCAUGCUGGGAUGGGUUUUCAGUGACAUAGCUGCCUGAGUCACCUGUGUUCUUAUAAGUAACCCCAAUAAAAUCAUUGGUUCACUUUAGCCUAUUAUUGGUUGUGCUCUACCUGGGCAUUUGCUCACAUCUCCAACAGGCCCAGGUAGAGAGUUUAUAUGUAACUUACUAUUGUGUUCCAAGGCUAGCUGCAUUGAGUGCAGUAUAAAAGAGCCUCACAUUUCACAAAAGUGGAAACUAAGACACAAAGGUUAAAGAGCUCCCAAAAUAACACAGAGAAAGAGAAGUGGAGGUUUCUCAGUUGGCAGGGGAAGGAAGUGGGUGAGUCUGGAUCAGGUUAAGGAAAAGGAGUGGACAGAGCCCCAAGAUCCUGGUGAGAGAUGAAGGAAGUGUGUGUGCAUACGCGUAGCGCAGAGGGAGAUACAUGUCAGGGCAAGCAUCAUUUCCACCAGUCUUAACCCCAUAAAAACUAUCAAGUGAAAAUAAUUUAAAACAAGGACACUCAGGAUGGAGUCCCAUGUGUGAGCAGUGUGAUGUCACUCGAGAUGGAGUUCCACUCGUGAGUAGUGUGAUAUACUGGUGCAAGUUGAGGUCCUCAUAAUUGGUGUUCGAGUCCUUUCUGGGGGAGCUUGGAGCCUACCGACAUUUUAGAAGAAUGAAAUCACUUGAAACAAGUCCCCUUCAGACUUACCUUCCUGAUUCUACAAAUGAGUACAUGGAGAUACCCCUGGAAGAUCUACAUGAAUUUAAUAUUAGUAGCUGUCUGAUGUUUCAUUCAACUGGCUAUGGCCGCAAGGAGCUGGAACCAAUCCAAUUGUUCCUGGCCUUCUGCAGCCUCAGGUACCCCAGGAUUCUUAUUAGUGAUGCAUGUCACCACUUGAAUCAACAAGUGUCACUUCUGUUAUCAGCAAAGCCUAUUGCUCCAAGGUCCUGCUUCGCAGAAAGAGAAACCAAACGGUCAAGGCCACAGCUUCUAGAUGAGACAUCUGAAGCCCAGGAACCAAAUGAGCCGCUGAGUCAACUCGUGAAAGACACCCCCCUUGGUCUCUUCAUUGACACCAGAGGUGGCAGCCGAGAGUUAUGAAAAUCUCAAGUACACAGUGGCAGCCCCGACCUGUGUGGAUCCAGGGCACAGUAGUUAGAAUAAGGUUGCUAGACUACCUUACUCUGAUUGUGAAUGACCCUCCUUGGCCACGAGAGAUGGACUGCAAUGUCUUGUUUAGUGAUUAUCGUGGUAUGCAAGUGUGGAGCUCAUGCUUGCAGCUUCCCUGGAGACACGGUAGAGCAUGCUCAGUGGGCAGGCUACUUGUCCUCUGCACCAGCACCUUUUACUGGUUUUGCAGACUUUGAAAGA